GUCAGGGGGAAGGCGGAUCUGGCAGGACGACGAUGGCGGAGGUGCAGAGCUGUCGCAGGUCGGUGGGCGCGCGGGUAUGAGAUCAGAGCGGCGUUGGCAGGAGGGUGGCGGACGACUGGGCUACAGCGGCUUCGCGGCUCGUGCGGUGAGGCGGACGCACAGGUCACCGAGGAGGAAUCGAAAUAGCGAGAGGAACUGAGGAAGAGAGAGAGAGAGAGA
Molecule: long non-coding RNA, 219 nt
Filed under: Eucalyptus grandis
Lineage: Eukaryota; Viridiplantae; Streptophyta; Magnoliopsida; Myrtales; Myrtaceae
Description: long non-coding RNA (EGRA_LNC001663)
Source: RNAcentral